RNAcentral lists this ribosomal RNA (442 nucleotides) under uncultured bacterium. RNAcentral's name for it is "partial 16S ribosomal RNA". It matches the Rfam family "Bacterial small subunit ribosomal RNA", at positions 338 to 795 of the family's 1533-position model. The record is from RNAcentral.
CCUACGGGUGGCAGCAGUAGGGAAUCUUUCACAAUGGGCGAAAGCCUGAUGGAGCAACGCCGCGUGCAGGACGAAGGCCCUCGGGUUGUUAACUGUCUUUUUAAGCGAGACAUAUGAUGGUAACUUAUGCUUACGGAUCGGCUAACUACGUGCCAGCAGCCGCGGUCAUACGUAGGAGGCGAGCAUUAUCCGGAGUGACUGGGUGUAAAGAGUGGCGUAGGUGGCAUAAUAAGUAGCUAGUGAAAUCUGGUGGCUCAACCAUUCAGACUAUUGGCUAAACUGUUAAGCUCGAGACCGUUAGGGGUAACUGGAAUGUCUAGUGUAGGAGUGAAAUCCGUAGAUAUUAGAAAGAACACCGAUAGCGAAGGCAGGUUACUGGGACGGUUCUGACACUAAGGCACGAAAGCGUAGGGAGCAAACGGGAUUAGAUACCCGAGUAGUC